AUUUUUCAUUGAGGCUAAAGGAGAUGGUACUGUCAUCACAGUUCUGGACAGAGAGAGCACUGAUGAGAGCACAGACAACAACGCAAAAGACAACACAGCAGACAGUUCUCAGAGUGAUAAAGUGUUAACUUUUGUACUGAGAUGUCUUCCCAUCAUCGCUCUUCUUGUAACCUUCUUCUACCUCAACUAUUCAGGAAACAAAGCUCAGCAACGCACAUCAGCUGAUCCACAAAAUACACCUGUUUCAACCCCCAGAAGAGAGGAAGAAGAAGA
Scomber japonicus (chub mackerel) is the source of this 273-nucleotide long non-coding RNA. RefSeq lists it as uncharacterized. The record is from RefSeq and is a predicted model, not a curated record. The transcript is spliced from 3 exons. Lineage: Eukaryota; Metazoa; Chordata; Actinopteri; Scombriformes; Scombridae.